UACGUAGGGUGCAAGCGUUGUCCGGAAUUAUUUGGGCGUAAAGAGCUCGUAGGCGGUUUGUCGCGUCUGCUGUGAAAACCCGAGGCUCAACCUCGGGCCUGCAGUGGGUACGGGCAGACUAAAGUGCGGUAGGGGAGACUGGAAUUCCUGGUGUAGCGGUGAAAUGCGCAGAUAUCAGGAGGAACACCGGUGGCGAAGGCGGGUCUCUGGGCCGUAACUGACGCUGAGGAGCGAAAGCGUGGGGAGCGAACAGG
This 254-nucleotide ribosomal RNA is filed under the name uncultured bacterium. RNAcentral describes it as "partial 16S ribosomal RNA". It matches the Rfam family "Bacterial small subunit ribosomal RNA", at positions 524 to 776 of the family's 1533-position model. The record is from RNAcentral.